Molecule: long non-coding RNA, 454 nt
Filed under: Capsicum annuum
Lineage: Eukaryota; Viridiplantae; Streptophyta; Magnoliopsida; Solanales; Solanaceae
Description: long non-coding RNA (CANN_LNC007480)
Source: RNAcentral
ACUGCAUGUAUUGUCGCUUACACCGUAGCCUGUAUCAAGAGUGCUCGGAUAUGUUCCAACAUGAUAGCUUUCAAAAGUAAACUGUGAGACAUUACUCGAACAGAAGGUGAAAUAUUAACAGGAGGCAAACCCUGGACCUAAUUUAACUAACUGUAUAUUAGAUAUACAGGCUUGGUAUGGCCGGGAAAAGGUCUCGGUUUCUGGUGACCUUAAGUCAGAUAAUAAGUAUAGUGAGAACACAAAACAUAAAUAAUAUUGCACCAGAGAGAUAAAAGUUGUAAACAAGAGUAUUUCAAACUGCAAUGUUUUUCUCCAUUCAAAUCAUUUGAUGGUCUGCUCCCACCAGAUAACUAAUAUAACAGAACCAGAACAAGUAUCAUGUUCCAAACACUCCAUUCUUUCGAUAUCUUUCCUCCAGCCUAACUGAAUAACACUUGUUCUCACUUUAUGUGCU